UGAAGAGUUUGAUCAUGGCUCAGAUUGAACGCUGGCGGCAGGCCUAACACAUGCAAGUCGAACGGUAACAGGAAGCAGCUUGCUGCUUUGCUGACGAGUGGCGGACGGGUGAGUAAUGUCUGGGAAACUGCCUGAUGGAGGGGGAUAACUACUGGAAACGGUGGCUAAUACCGCAUAACGUCGCAAGACCAAAGAGGGGGACCUUCGGGCCUCUUGCCAUCAGAUGUGCCCAGAUGGGAUUAGCUUGUUGGUGAGGUAACGGCUCACCAAGGCGACGAUCCCUAGCUGGUCUGAGAGGAUGACCAGCCACACUGGAACUGAGACACGGUCCAGACUCCUACGGGAGGCAGCAGUGGGGAAUAUUGCACAAUGGGCGCAAGCCUGAUGCAGCCAUGCCGCGUGUAUGAAGAAGGCCUUCGGGUUGUAAAGUACUUUCAGCGGGGAGGAAGGUGUUGUGGUUAAUAACCGCAGCAAUUGACGUUACCCGCAGAAGAAGCACCGGCUAACUCCGUGCCAGCAGCCGCGGUAAUACGGAGGGUGCAAGCGUUAAUCGGAAUUACUGGGCGUAAAGCGCACGCAGGCGGUCUGUCAAGUCGGAUGUGAAAUCCCCGGGCUCAACCUGGGAACUGCAUUCGAAACUGGCAGGCUUGAGUCUUGUAGAGGGGGGUAGAAUUCCAGGUGUAGCGGUGAAAUGCGUAGAGAUCUGGAGGAAUACCGGUGGCGAAGGCGGCCCCCUGGACAAAGACUGACGCUCAGGUGCGAAAGCGUGGGGAGCAAACAGG
This 782-nucleotide ribosomal RNA is filed under the name Salmonella enterica. RNAcentral describes it as "bacterial SSU rRNA". It matches the Rfam family "Bacterial small subunit ribosomal RNA", at positions 1 to 776 of the family's 1533-position model. Lineage: Bacteria; Pseudomonadati; Pseudomonadota; Gammaproteobacteria; Enterobacterales; Enterobacteriaceae. The record is from RNAcentral. RNAcentral also lists the same sequence under 2 other names.